CAUCGUAAGGUGGAAUCUGAAGGAAGCUGGAUGUUGGAAACCUACUAACCUAUGGGCAAACCUCUGGCCUAAUGGGCAAAAACCGCAUAGAAGGCUGCACAUAAGGGUAAGUCUGCCAGUCAAGAUAAAAUUCGAUAGCUACACGGGAUCAUGUUCAGUAAAUGCGGCAGAUAGAUGGAAGAAAAGAAA
This 189-nucleotide non-coding RNA is filed under the name chicken gut metagenome. The record is from RNAcentral.